RNAcentral lists this unclassified non-coding RNA (373 nucleotides) under fungal sp. RNAcentral's name for it is "partial internal transcribed spacer region". The record is from RNAcentral. Lineage: Eukaryota; Fungi.
AAGUCGUAACAAGGUUCCGUAGGUGAACCUUCAUUAACACGUAUCCAAACGUUUAAAAGAAAGAAAACCCCCCUGUGAACAUUUGCUUGCUCUUGCAGCCCGCCUGGCUAGAAAAUCUCUGGUAAAUCAUCGUUGAACUAGUUUGAUUCGGGACCGCAUAAUGCGUACGUGAAAGUGGUAUUGGGUGAGAAACCCUUCUGGAUGAUGGACGGCCACCACGGCCGGUCGCUGCUGCUUGUGGGCGUUCGUGCGCCCCAGGAUUACCCCGCUACCAGUCGAAACGACCAACCUGCGCAACCAUUACGUGUUGAGCCCGUGGGCGCCGUAAACCGAAAUCCUUGAACAACUGUUAACAAUGGAUAUCUUGGUUCUC